CGAGUAUACAAUCUUAGGUUUAUGAGGCGAGUCUACAGGCCUCAGAUUCUUCCAGCCUCUAAUCUUGAUGCACAACCAUUAAAUGCACUUGUUCUAAAAAAAGGAACCCACCCACAAAUGGCCACAACCUCCCCUCAUGAUAGAGCCAAAGAACACUCACAAACAAGAGGAGAAGUCAUAAUUACUGCAUUUGGAUCCUCAGCAGCCAACACUGGAGCAGGCUGAUUGACUGGUUUAGUACUCUUCCUAGAUCUGACCUGCUCCAUCAUAUAAUGAGAAGAAAAAAUCAAUAACAUGGCAUAAUUAGAAAUCAAUGUCACAAUAUGCAUGUCGGCACCGAAAUUGGUGCAUGGGAUCCGCCCCCCCUCCCCCACAAACCGGGAAAUCAAGGAUAGAUCUUUGUGAGUGAUCCAUGCGGCCAUGUAAGAGAUACCCAACCCAUUUUCUGAGCUUCACCGUGAUAUUCAAGCCAUGGAUGACCGAUAAAUCUGAAAGAGGCCGAGUUAGUGGCUGUAGAUUCAUGCUCUCUCUUGCCAGAAGCAGAGAUAGAAGUUGACUUCUUUAUGGGAGAGCGUGGGGACUGUGACGUCAGCAACGCCUGUGGCUCAUUUACUCGCCAGAUUUAUUCUUUGCUUGGAAGCAGCAGGUUCAUCAAAUGGGCCUCUGUAGUCUGCAAUUUUACCCUAAAAAUAGAACUGGGCAGAGAAGAAAAAAAAUAAUAUUACCAUGAAUAUCCCCGUCGAGAAACAAGACAGAAGUUUGACCAGAAAUGCGGACGAACUCCUCCACAGUUUUAUUAUCUUUUUGCCAAAAUGGCAGCAUAAAAAGUGAGGAAGUCAUCACUGUGAAGAAGGUUUCUGGGACGAAGAAGCACCGAGGCUUUUACCUUAAAAGGCCAUGGGACGAGGACAUAUUGGAUGGAAACAUAAACAAAAGGAUAACAAGUAAUAGCAAUGAACGGAGUAUAUAUAUAUACAUCAAAGGGAUGUAGAUCAUAAUCACCAAGAAAAGCUAUCAAAACCAAGAGAUUCAUCAACGAAACAGAAAGAUUAUUUAGGCAUAUAAAAUUCUACAAUUACAUCAUUAGUCAUACCGUGGAAAAAUGCCAGCUCUUGCAGAGGUCUUCAGGGAGCCAGGAAAGGGUCGUUGAAUUAGUCCUAAAGGUACAAAGACAAUUCAGCAAGAAGCAAAUCAACAGAAGCUCAGAGAAAGAUACAGCGCCUGUAUUACUAAAAGUGCCCGGCAUAAUCAAGAAAACAGAUUUUCAGGAAAAUACCAUCAAAUAAAGAAAGAGGUAGAUGUUCAUGUCUGUUUUCUACUGUUUGUAAUGUCACAUGGUAUCAGCUGCUAAAACAACAUUGCGGAUAAAGAAGUCAACAACAAAAGCCAAAUAAUGAACAUGCCUCCCCCUCAUACACUUGACAUCUAAUGACGUCCUGGUGACCAUAACUGCUCAUGGCUAGUGGUUCUAUCAGAGUAUGCCAACCUCGGCCAUAAACUAGUCCAUAAUGAAAGGGAGGCACAAGAUCUCUGCUAGCAUGAGGACUCCAGAUGGGAGUAACAACUUACCCCCCCAUGCACGUAAUGAGCACAUGUUAUCCAACAUCUUAGCCUGAUAUUUUGCCGUCUAGGCCUGGGUCGCUCUGACCUAUUCCCAGAUCCCUAUAAAUGUAACUAAAUCAGGAAAGAUGAUAAUUCGUCAGUCUGAUUGGGAAUCGGAUAAUAUUACAUCCAUAGAAGAAUAUCAGAUGUCUCUCCCAAAUGACUCAUAGAAUAUAUAUAUAUAAAAAUGCUCACCUCUAUGACAACUCAUAUCAGGUCAUAUUCAUCAUUGAAUGAAUCACCUAAUAUAUGUU
Molecule: long non-coding RNA, 1856 nt
Filed under: Spirodela polyrhiza (greater duckweed)
Lineage: Eukaryota; Viridiplantae; Streptophyta; Magnoliopsida; Alismatales; Araceae
Description: long non-coding RNA (SPOL_LNC002488)
Source: RNAcentral